UGCGCAGGCGGGCUUGUAAGUCAGUGGUGAAAUACUGCCGCUUAACGGUAGAACUGCCAUUGAUACUGCGAGUCUUGAAUAUGGUUGAGGUAGGCGGAAUGUGUUGUGUAGCGGUGAAAUGUAUAGAUAUGACACAGAACGCCGAUUGCGAAGGCAGCUUACUAAGCCAUUAUUGACGCUGAGGCACGAAAGCGUGGGGAGCGAACAGGAUUAGAUACCCUGGUAGUCC
Molecule: ribosomal RNA, 229 nt
Filed under: uncultured bacterium
Lineage: Bacteria
Description: partial 16S ribosomal RNA
Rfam family: Bacterial small subunit ribosomal RNA
Source: RNAcentral